AAAUACUUUUUAGUCCACAAAUUCCUAACAGGCAAUUUUUUAUUGUUUCAUCCUAUGAAUUCAUGCUUAUAUCGCUUUCCGUCAGGCGAUCGGCAAGGGCAGCACAGCACCGCCGGAGACAACACAAGCCGAGGGUCCUUUCAGCACGUGGGCCUUAUUUAUUAAUUAAAAAAAGUUUCCGUCAGGCAAUCGGCGAAGACAGCACAGCCGAGAACGCGGGAAAAUGUGGGUCCUUUGGACUCACUAUUGCUUAUCUAUUUCCCCUCACUCAGAUGUUUAGUGGAGGUAGUAGAGCUGACAGGGUCAAACGAGUGUAAUAAUUAAUCUUACUUCUUUGAGAAAGAUUUUAAUGAAAGUACGAUGUGAAUUUGUUAAAAGUGUCUUGUAUUUUUGAGUGCUUGAAAUUAGGGGCUAAGUUAGUGCAUAAUAAGAGGAAAGUCAGUGCUGUGCUAAUUACAUUUUUACGUGUAUUCUUUAAACAGUAUUAUUCUCCAAAACGGCGCAGGACGCAAGUAAGCACAGCGCAUUUUGCAGCAGGAAAAAAGAGGUUUACAUUUUUGCCGGCGCACUCCACGUGACGGUAGCCGCCCGUCUGACAGGAAGCGAAGUGCUGGAAAUGUGGCGAUCGGUGAGGGAAGCGUAACUGAGGACGUCUGAAGUCUAGAAACUUUUUUUGUCGCCAUUCCGUCAGGCGAUCUAAAGAUGGGGGCCGCUGUGAAACGGGGAGCUCUGAGUUCCCAUCGGCUCGAGGACGGCGCUCGCGCGUGCUACCUCACUGACUGUCCCUGAGGAGCCGCUCACGUGCAGUGGUAGUGGUGUGCAUGUGAGAGACGCGGGAUCACACUGUGACACUGAGGACAGGACAGGACUGGAAUGAGACGCGCCUCCGGAUCGUUCAGUCACCUGCCAGACCAGUUGGACUUUGAAGCUUCCUUUCAGAAGAUCCUUCUGGGCAAGGACCUGCUGACUCAGGUGACUGUAAUAGAGGUGUGGACCACCUGCUCUCUGCCAUCACUGUGCGUGGGAAGCCCAGUAGCUGUUCCAGGUAGAAAACCCUGCAGGGGUUUGACAUGCUCUUCAAGGUGCCCACCAUCAGCCAGGUACUUUCUAUCAUCUCAUGGUUGGCUCACAGCAGCGCAUGAAGCUAGAAUACUGAGAAUGAUGGCUCUGGGUGUGCAUCCUGUGUACUAAAUGGAUUUUACAAGUGUAAAUGUAAAGUGAAAUCGAGAGCUGUGUGGUGUCACUGUCUGUGCAGAGCAUGACAAAAUGCAGAAAACCAUAUCUUCAUAGGUUACUCCUGUAUCUUUGCAUCAUUAGGACAGCACAUCCUCCCUCUUGGUCUCGGUGUUAAUGACCUUUAACCUCACUGAGGAGGAGUGACGUGAUGUAAAAGUGUCAGGACUUUUGUGUUUUAAAUAAAAUUAUUUAUUGAAGCUGGUCUGUUCAUGGGGUUGUUAUAGUAAAAUCUUGGUUGGUUUGUUGAGAGCUGUUGUGCCACAUGUUCCCCCUCCUGCUUUGUCUCUGUUGUUACUCGUGAUUGUAAAUGCUGAGCUUGAAGCUCCUUGUCUUGUGGAAUUUUGCAAUGAAGUAAAAAAGCCUUAUUUGAAAGACAUCAAUUUGUAAUACUCUGCAAUAAUA
Molecule: long non-coding RNA, 1638 nt
Organism: Scleropages formosus (Asian bonytongue)
Lineage: Eukaryota; Metazoa; Chordata; Actinopteri; Osteoglossiformes; Osteoglossidae
Exons: 4
Source: RefSeq, a predicted model, not a curated record